RNAcentral lists this ribosomal RNA (395 nucleotides) under uncultured bacterium. RNAcentral's name for it is "bacterial SSU rRNA". It matches the Rfam family "Bacterial small subunit ribosomal RNA", at positions 361 to 774 of the family's 1533-position model. The record is from RNAcentral.
AUAUUGCACAAUGGGGGAAACCCUGAUGCAGCGACGCCGCGUGAGGGAAGAAGGUUUUCGGAUUGUAAACCUCUGUCUUCAGUGACGAAAAUGACGGUAACUGAGGAGGAAGCCACGGCUAACUACGUGCCAGCAGCCGCGGUAAUACGUAGGUGGCAAGCGUUGUCCGGAAUUACUGGGUGUAAAGGGAGCGUAGGCGGGAAGACAAGUUGGACGUUAAAUCUAUCGGCUCAACCGGUAGCAGCGUUCAAAACUGCCUUUCUUGAGUGAAGUAGAGGUAAGCGGAAUUCCUAGUGUAGCGGUGAAAUGCGUAAAUAUUAGGAGGAACACCAGUGGCGAAGGCGGCUUACUGGACAGUAACUGACGUUGAGGCUCGAAAGCGUGGGGAGCAAACA